RNAcentral lists this ribosomal RNA (665 nucleotides) under Streptomyces sp. RNAcentral's name for it is "bacterial SSU rRNA". It matches the Rfam family "Bacterial small subunit ribosomal RNA", at positions 81 to 761 of the family's 1533-position model. Lineage: Bacteria; Bacillati; Actinomycetota; Actinomycetes; Kitasatosporales; Streptomycetaceae. The record is from RNAcentral.
UUCGGUGGGGAUUAGUGGCGAACGGGUGAGUAACACGUGGGCAAUCUGCCCUGCACUCUGGGACAAGCCCUGGAAACGGGGUCUAAUACCGGAUAUGAGCCUGGGAGGCAUCUCCCGGGUUGUAAAGCUCCGGCGGUGCAGGAUGAGCCCGCGGCCUAUCAGCUUGUUGGUGAGGUAAUGGCUCACCAAGGCGACGACGGGUAGCCGGCCUGAGAGGGCGACCGGCCACACUGGGACUGAGACACGGCCCAGACUCCUACGGGAGGCAGCAGUGGGGAAUAUUGCACAAUGGGCGAAAGCCUGAUGCAGCGACGCCGCGUGAGGGAUGACGGCCUUCGGGUUGUAAACCUCUUUCAGCAGGGAAGAAGCGAAAGUGACGGUACCUGCAGAAGAAGCGCCGGCUAACUACGUGCCAGCAGCCGCGGUAAUACGUAGGGCGCAAGCGUUGUCCGGAAUUAUUGGGCGUAAAGAGCUCGUAGGCGGCUUGUCACGUCGAUUGUGAAAGCCCGAGGCUUAACCUCGGGUCUGCAGUCGAUACGGGCUAGCUAGAGUGUGGUAGGGGAGAUCGGAAUUCCUGGUGUAGCGGUGAAAUGCGCAGAUAUCAGGAGGAACACCGGUGGCGAAGGCGGAUCUCUGGGCCAUUACUGACGCUGAGGAGCGAAGCU